GGGGGGCUGGGGGGCAAUGGGGGCAGUGGGGACCUUUGGGAUAAUGGGGGCAAUGGGGGGAAUGGGGGCAUUGGGGGCAUUGGGGGGAAUGGGGGAAACAGGGGCAAUGGGGGCAUUGGGGCUUUUGGGGUAAUGGGGGCAAUGGGGGAUAAUGGGGCAAUAGGGGCAAUGGGGGCUUUGGGGGGAAUGGGGGCAAUGGGGGCAGUGGGGGCACCUGCAUUGGGCGCGUGUAGUUAUGGGGCAGCUAUGGGGCAGCUAUGGGGCAGCUAUGGGGGUAUCUAUGGGGGUAUCUGUGGGGCAGCUACGGAGAUAUCAAUGAGGAUAUAUGUGGGGCAGCUAUGGGGCGCUGUGGGGCAACUAUGGGGGUAUCUAUGGGGCACCAAUGGGGCAUCUAUGGGGAAGCUAUGGGGUAUUUAUGGGGCAGCUAUGGGGCAGCUACACAGUAUCUAUGGGGGUAUCUAUGGGGCAGCUAUGGGGCAGCUAUGGAGGUAUCAAUGAGGCUAUCUGUGGGGCAGCUAUGGGGCGCUGUGGGGCAACUAUGGGAUAUCUAUGGGGCAGCUAUGGGGUAUCUAUGGGGCAGCUAUGGGGCAGCUACACGGUAUCUAUGGGGGUAUCUGUGGGGCAGCCAUGGGGGUAUCUAUGGGGCACCAAUGGGGCAUCUAUGAGGCAGCUAUGGGGUAUCUAUGGGGCAGCUAUGGGGUAGCUACACGGUAUCUGUGGGGCAGCUAUGGGGCAGCUA
This 739-nucleotide long non-coding RNA is filed under the name Phasianus colchicus (ring-necked pheasant). RNAcentral's name for it is "lncRNA (ENSPCLG00000020137.1)". The record is from RNAcentral. Lineage: Eukaryota; Metazoa; Chordata; Aves; Galliformes; Phasianidae.